RNAcentral lists this long non-coding RNA (622 nucleotides) under Phoenix dactylifera (date palm). Its description in RNAcentral is "long non-coding RNA (PDAC_LNC002386)". The record is from RNAcentral. Lineage: Eukaryota; Viridiplantae; Streptophyta; Magnoliopsida; Arecales; Arecaceae.
AAACUUUUCACCAUUCCCAAGGUGAGAAGUAUGAAUACGUCAUUCGCAACCAUCAUAAACACAUUCUACAGUAACUCGAUCACGAUCGUUCUUCACGAAGACAAAAUCCCUGCAAUUUGCAAUGCAAUAGUUGCGAAUGGUGUCACGUAGAGUUUCCACAUUCAUGAACUCCUGACCAACACCCUCUAUACUAUUUUUCCAAUCAUCCAACGAAUUUUUUUGACUUGCUUCCUCUUUAAUUGCGGCUCUUGUUUCUUCAACAAAUUCACCAAAAUUACUUGAGCUACCCUUCGAAAAUUUUUUUCCUCUCGAACUAAUUUCAGGACAAUGGGAUGAGCCACUGUUCAUACAAUAUGAUAAACAUUAUUUUAGCAAACUUACUAAAAUCCGUUGCACAAACCAAAAUUUUAAAAACGGAAUACCUCUCAAUUACCACAGCAGCACCUUCGAUCAAGGUUGGAGAAUGAGUAACAACCAUCUCGAUCACCUUGGCAUUUAAGUUGACGUGUAUUUGUUGCAUGUUACGAACAUCCUUAUCGCUCAUGAGCGUAACAAGUAUUUUAGACUUGUUUGGAAUAUAAAACUUAACUUCUAUCAUUGUAGAAGAUAAAUGUCUCCACCU